AGGAAUAUUUGCUGCAACCUAUUUUAGAUUUCAGCCCAUCUGCCUCCAGCCCUAUCUCCUGUUUCUUAAAGAGGAAGAUAGGGGGUCUUGGGGUGGUGGUUAGACUAUAUAGAGGACAAAUAGUCUUCCUCCUAAAGUUGCCUCCAAAGUUAUUUUCCAGUUUCUGGAAUUGAACAACUAAGGGCAGUAGGUAAUUUUGGCAAGUCCCCCAGCAAUCAGUCAAAUUGACCUGAUGCUGAAGUCAGGGCUGGAGCUUCAUUAAAGCAGAGAAAGAUUAAGUGACUGUGGGUAAGCUCCUGAAUUCUCUGCACCAACUGGAGUAGUAAAUAACCGAUCACAUGUCUUUGUUUCCUCCAAUAUUUUGGAAAGAAAAAGAAAUUGCUAAUUAUUGAUUUCCCCCCUGAAAUUUCACUGAUCAAUAGAAACUUGAGUGAUAGCCAGAGUUCACUCUUUAACUGUGGCCAGUCUCAACAAGCAUCAUUCAUUAAGAUGACUGCCACAGUCAUGCUUCAAACCAGGAAAAAAUAACCUCAAAUGAGAAAUUACUGAAGGUCACAAUGAGGUUACAGACACAUAAGAAAUGGAGACGUAAUCGUGAUUGCAAAAGGACCUAGGACUGUGGACAAUUCUGGGUAUUGCAAAGCUCAGGUUGCCUGAUGAUUUGGGGGGAAAAACAACAAUAUGGGAAGAAACUUAAUCUCCACAGUGUCCUGAUGUUCCAGAAGCGAACUUGCCGAAGUCAAGCAAAUAUAACCAGACAAUGUUACUGAUAAAAAGAUAUUAUCGGCCGGGCGCGGUGGCUCACGCCUGUAAUCCCAGCACUUUGGGAGGCCGAGGCGGGUGGAUCACGAGGUCAGGAGAUCGAGACCAUCCUGGCUAACACGGUGAAAACCCGUCUCUACUAAAAAUACAAAAAAUUAGCCGGCCGUGGUGGCGGGCGCCUGUAGUCCCAGCUACUCGGGAGGCUGAGGUGGGAGAAUGGCGUGAACCCGGGAGGCGGAGCCUGCAGUGAGCCGAGAUUGUGCCACUGCACUCCAGCCUGGGCGACAGCGAGACUCCAUCUCAAAAAAAAAAAAAAAAAAGAUAUUAUCAAAUUAGGAAAGAUUUUUUAGAUACGUAAGCCCUCAAAGGUAUGUAAUCAUACCACAUAAUGGAAGGUAGACAUAUUUAAAGAAAGAAAUAUGUAUCUGUCAAUUAUGCUUUAAUAAAGCCAGGAAAAACAAAUGGAAAGAAAGAAAGGAAGAGAAAAAAUUUCAUUGAACAUCUAUGGUACAGCAGCCUGAAAUCUUUCACAUUUUGAGAUUUUAUGUGUGAGUUGAAAGCACCGUUACUUGACUUUUAAAUAUAGAUGACUAUGUUGGUUACGAUUAUUAUAGUUCCAUUCAGGAAAACAAUCAACACAAACACAUUCUCUUUUCUGUUUCUUUUCUAUGUAAAAUGCUCCAAAAUCAAUAAUAUUAUUCUUGAGUGUUGCAUUUAUUUGUCUGUUUAUUAUCAUGCAACAUUUUUUCUAUUACCCGUCCACACUCAAUUCCCUUUUGGGGAAUUAUUCAUCCCACAUUUUGUGCAGUUAUGGAGGGGAUGGUAAGUACGGGUGCCUUUCUCCUACUGUUGAAACUAAAGGAGCCGGCUCCUUUUUCUCCCACCAAGUACAGCUAUAGAGGUGCAAGUGACUGAUGCUUGGCCAAUGAAACCAUCUGCCAGAACUUUGACUCCGGAAAGAAUGGCUCAGAGGUGCAAGAAGCCACUGCAAUGGACUCUUCCCAGCCUGGGUAUCCUGCUAGGUCUGUUUUUGCAGAAAAGCAGUUGUGACUGUAGCAUCUCACCUCCCUUAGUAGGCUGACCGUUUCUUUAGCCUCUCAUAGAUUUUAUAGACCCUCAACAUGAUUAUAAUAAACGC
Molecule: long non-coding RNA, 1900 nt
Filed under: Homo sapiens (human)
Lineage: Eukaryota; Metazoa; Chordata; Mammalia; Primates; Hominidae
Description: HSALNT0132391
Source: RNAcentral